CCGAUUCUGCGGACGGGAUAGGAUGAGGUGGAGAGGCAGCAUCAUGGUAACCAGUUGGUGUCUGCGGAUCAGACUCUGCAUUGGAAAUCUGAUUGUCAAGAAUCUCAUAAUCUUGGAUGGUUUCAACAGAUCUAACAGGAGAAGGUAUUCCAUCCAGGUUAGUGUUAACUAAAGAAAGGAAAAACAAGAAUUUUUUUAGUCAGGAUUUGGCCAGAUGCCGAAAGAAGAAAAGAAGAAAAAUUUAAUAAAAUAAAUAAAAU
RNAcentral lists this long non-coding RNA (260 nucleotides) under Lathyrus oleraceus (garden pea). Its description in RNAcentral is "Pisum sativum (pea) long non-coding RNA (PSAT_LNC037628)". The record is from RNAcentral. Lineage: Eukaryota; Viridiplantae; Streptophyta; Magnoliopsida; Fabales; Fabaceae.